This 493-nucleotide ribosomal RNA is filed under the name uncultured bacterium. RNAcentral's name for it is "partial 16S ribosomal RNA". It matches the Rfam family "Bacterial small subunit ribosomal RNA", at positions 30 to 507 of the family's 1533-position model. The record is from RNAcentral.
AUUGAACGCUGGCGGCAUGCUUUACACAUGCAAGUCGAACGGCAGCGAGGAGAAGCUUGCUUCUCUGUCGGCGAGUGGCGAACGGGUGAGUAUAGCAUCUGAACGUGCCAAGUAGUGGGGGAUAACCAAACGAAAGUUUGGCUAAUACCGCGUAAGCUCUAAGGAGGAAAGUAGGGGACCUAAAUAAGGCCUUACGCUAUUUGAUCGGCCGAUGUCGGAUUAGCUAGUUGGUGGGGUAAUGGCUCACCAAGGCAAUGAUCCGUAGCGGGUCUGAGAGGACGAUCCGCCACACUGGGACUGAGACACGGCCCAGACUCCUACGGGAGGCAGCAGUGGGGAAUUUUGGACAAUGGGGGAAACCCUGAUCCAGCCAUGCCGCGUGUAUGAAGAAGGCCUUAGGGUUGUAAAGUACUUUUGUUAGGGAAGAAAAGCUAGUUUUUAAUAAAAAUUAGUGAUGACGGUACCUAAAGAAUAAGCACCGGCUAACUACGUG